This is a non-coding RNA of Schizosaccharomyces pombe (fission yeast), 2376 nucleotides long. Lineage: Eukaryota; Fungi; Ascomycota; Schizosaccharomycetes; Schizosaccharomycetales; Schizosaccharomycetaceae. The record is from the annotation of a GenBank genome assembly.
AAUUUAUAAUAUUUAUUCGAACGUUUAAGAGCAUGAGUGGAAAAAUGGUAAAUUAUCGAAAGAAUGUACAAUAUCUUCCAAAAAAGCAUUUAGGAUGCGUAAUUAUCAAAAGAGAGAUGCUUUAUUAAAAACAUAUAUGCUGCUAUAUAAAAAUAAAUAAAUAUGACCAGCAGCAGAUAAAAUCAAAAUAACUUAUAAAAUACAUAUAAAGACAAAAAAGCCAAACUCAUGCUCAUGGUCAGGCGAGAAAUGUUAGUUCAGCACAGAAAGUAUGGACUGAACAGAAUUUUGCAAUAUAGAAAACUCGUAAAAAUCAGCAACAGAUUGAUAAACGUUUAACAUUUCACGAAACUUUGUAGGUGAAAGCUGUAAUACCCAUUCUCCGCUGCAUGAACAGCGUUCCUUUAAUGACCAUUGCUUAACUGUCUUACAUUUAGAACAAAUCAAAUCUUGCAGUUGAUAUAAUGUCAAUUGAUGGUAUAAGUUAUCCACCAAAGUUUCCUCAAACACCCAUCGAUCGUAAACUAAGUUACAGCUGGAACAAGACCAUCCGUCAGAAAACACCAAGGUCCCCAUGUCAUCGCGAGUAGGCCAUAGAUGCUCAUGUAAACAAAGGUCAAAAUCCUGAUGGACGCCACACUGCUUACAGGGUAUUUGAUCAAGUGAAAGUCGACGACUAGGAUAUCGAAAUACCGCCUGAGUGGAAAACUCUUGAAUUUGUAAAAGUGACAAUAAACUCUUUUUUAAAAAACGGACCUCCAAAUUGAGAUCAUGGGAGAGUUCAAAAACAGCACAGAUGCUUUUAACCAAUUCUAGAGCGCCAUCAGUAUAGUUAAGAAAAGAACCUGGCAACUUUGGAAAUUUAAGAUCUUCUCUGGUAUUUUCAUCAAGCUGAAGCUCUUGAAAACAUCUCCUUACUUGAGCAACUUUCCGUUUAAGAGGAUGUAUCAACUUACUUUUUAAAAUUCCCGAUCCAACUAUUUCAGAGUCCUCAUCAGCAUUGUUGUUUUUCACGCGAACAAACCCAACUUUUGUAUUAGACUUUUCUAAUUUUUGCUUAUAAACCUCUUCAAUAAACUCAACAAUCCAACUCUGAAAUUCGGGCUGAAUGAUUGGAGGUAAAUGACUUUUAAUGUGCCAUGAAACAACUGUCUGUGGUUCUUCAUUUGUAGCUGAAAAAUUUGCUGCCACCAUUUUUCCUCCAUAAUUAACGGAAUCCAUCCAUAAAAGAUAAUCCCAGUAUUCCGUGACAUUUAGAUCCAAAAAGUGAAAUAGUGGUAACGUCUUAAUGGAUUUGAGUAAAUAAUUUGAAUAAGUGACAGCGUUCUGGACGAUUAAUUUGCUCGUUUUGAUUAAUAUUUUAUUAGCAGAAGCGUGUAUGAUAUGUGCUCCAAGGCGUUUUAUCUCAGAGAGAAGUUGUAAAAAAGUUUUUCUCAUUAUAACUUCCACGUGCGAGGAGAGUAAAGGACUGUACAGAUAAGAUUUUGAUGAAGAAAUCCAUCGGGCUAAAUGUUGAAUUAUAAGAUCAGCGAGAUUAUUACCGGAUGCAGCUUCGUUCCACCAAGUUUUAACCAACGCCUUCAACACCGGCAAUGAAUGUGUCAGUCCAAUAUUAUCAUGUAUUCCCAACUUUUCCUCCAGAUCAUCAUUUAUGGCGGUCAUGUAAUUAUCAUUCAAAGCUGCCAUGUCGCCAAUACCUUCUAUGUCAUUUAUGAGAGCAGAAUUGAGAAUGCUACAAAGUGCAAGGUUGGAAAGAGAAAUGUCAACACAAGCAUUUGAAUAAGCACCAGGAUUGUUAACUUCUAGUGGAUCUUUGGGACUGGCAAUCUGCAGAAUACUAUCCUUCUCAAUACCACCUAAGUCUGGAGUUGGGCCUUUAUUCCACCAAAGGAUAAUAUUAUGUUCUUUCAGCUUUCUAGAGUAAACAACAUCGAUACUGUACUGAAUGUCAUCGCUUUCAAAGUUGCAUAAUGGGAUAUCUGAGAAGCGAGAAAGUUGUAUGCGAUGGAAAAGCCAGCUACCAAUAGCUAAGAAAUGUUGGAUCAUUUUCGUAGCAAUGUGUUGUUUCCAAGAAAGAGACUGUAUGUUGCUCUCAAGCCGUGGUAUCAUUAUAUACGGAAGCUCUUCAAUUUGCUUCACAUUUGCCUUCAAUAUGUGAGGGAGUGAACUUUCAAUAAUAAGCAGACUAUUUUUAGUUUUAGUUGAAAAAUAUUGAAGCAACUUUUCAUCUAUCAGUUUGUACGCUUUCCUUUCGUUUCCCGAGAAAAUGACAUUACACGAAAGAGUAUCAGGGUAUUCGAUACUACUUUCCUUAAUUAAAUUAUCAAAUUUCGACCGUAGCUCUUCGUAAAUUUUGCUGAUUGAUGGGAAAGACAU